GAUGAACGCUAGCUACAGGCUUAACACAUGCAAGUCGAGGGGAAACGACAUCGAAAGCUUGCUUUUGAUGGGCGUCGACCGGCGCACGGGUGAGUAACGCGUAUCCAACCUGCCCACCACUUGGGGAUAACCUUGCGAAAGUAAGACUAAUACCCAAUGAUAUCUCUAGAAGACAUCCGAAAGGGAUUAAAGAUUUAUCGGUGAUGGAUGGGGAUGCGUCUGAUUAGCUUGUUGGCGGGGUAACGGCCCACCAAGGCAACGAUCAGUAGGGGUUCUGAGAGGAAGGUCCCCCCACAUUGGAACUGAGACACGGUCCAAACUCCUACGGGAGGCAGCAGUGAGGAAUAUUGGUCAAUGGACGGGAGUCUGAACCCAGCCCAAGUAGCGUGCAGGAUGACGGCCCUAUGGGUUGUAAACUGCUUUUAUAGGGGGAUAAAGUGUGCCACGUGUGGCGUAUUGCAGGUACCCUAUGAAUAAGGACCGGCUAAUUCCGUG
This 495-nucleotide ribosomal RNA is filed under the name uncultured bacterium. Its description in RNAcentral is "bacterial SSU rRNA". It matches the Rfam family "Bacterial small subunit ribosomal RNA", at positions 28 to 507 of the family's 1533-position model. The record is from RNAcentral.